AUUCCCGGUCUCACAUGUGCCCAGGGAUCAGGGUGGGUCGGGGGAGUGAGUCAUCCUCGACCCCAGCUGGCAAGGUCGGUUCCGGUCUGGGAUCUGGGAUGGAGCUGGAGUGGAGUUCCAAAUAGGCAACACGUGGCCCCGCUGGUUCCCGGCCAAUCAGAAUCCACGCUGGUCGCAAACGGGCCAAUCAGAACAGACGCCAGCGCAGCCGCUGUGCCCACGCACGGGGACCUGAGGGUCAGGUCCCGGGAUGUGAGCCGGUUCUCGCGAGUCCAGGCCAUCUUUAUGAAGCUGCAGGUCGGGCUGCCCAGACAGGGAAAUCUCAUUUCCUGGGCCGAAUUGGCCCGCAGACCUGUUUCGCUAGGUAGGCCUGCCCUAUGCCUGCCCCUCCCUCCCUCCUCCAUCUCACCCUCUUCCUGCUUUUCCCUCCCUUCUUCCUUUCUUUCCUUCCUUCCCCUCACUUUGGAAAACUCUGACCUCUAUGAAAGGCUUCUUUGGGGGUGCCCUUCUCUCGAAGGCCGUCCACUUUCACAGCCACGCUUGGGACUCCCCUGAGUCCUGCCAUUGCAGACCAGAACCCCUUCUCUUUUUUAAUCUCCUUUUCUCCCAAACUGCCUGCCCCAGAGCUUGCCCUCAUCAGGCCAGAUUGGGUCCCUCCCAGAGAGAGACCCUUGUGCCUUUCAAUUACAGAUUUCAGGAGACUCAAUACUGUAAAAGACGGGAGUGAAUCCUAGUGGGAUUUAGGGCUGAUUACUUGGAUUAACUGAAGCCAGUGUUUGGAUCCUGGACAAAUCACUCUAAGGAGAGGGCUGUCACUUCAAUCUAUAUUUGGCGUCAACAGCGAGGAUUUGAUGCCUUCCUACAGGCGGACACUUUUAUAGGAAACCGCAGUGUCUGCCUGUUCUGCACCCUGAGGGCCUGCAACGAGAAAAGCGAAUUCUCCUGGAGUGAUGGACGGGGCAGCUUUGGCUGGGAGCUGAGAAGUGAGGACUCUGCAGCUUCGAGCAAGUCACAUCCCUUCUCAGACACAGAGUUGCAUCAGCAAAUGGAGUGAAACCCGGGAUUGUUUCUUUCCUUGGGUGGCCUUUGUCUCAGUACAAAGUGGAGCACGACGGGCAGCUCAGAGCAAGGGGGUGUUUCAUAAGAGACAGGAGAUCUCAAACUGGCCUCCCGAGGGCUGAUACUUGGAAAUAGAUGUGGGCUUUCUGUUUGUUUUCCUAAUACAGUGUUUUUUAGAAUUUUGAAUUAGAUACUCAUACUUCAGAACCAGCAGAUUUCACUUCCAGAUUUUGAUUUUGGGUUUCUCUUGAAAAUUCAGCAGCUCUGGUCCCAGUGGCCCUUGUGGGACCAUGUGUUCUGAUCACGUGUUCCGCAUGUCAGCUGGAGCUGAAGAGUGGCCACUGCCUUUGGGCAAAGCGCCAGCUUUCCAUUCCCCACCCAGUCCAACACACCUGCCCUGCCCGGCUCCAGGAUGGCGCUGCCCAGAUGAGCGUGGCCAGCGCUGGCCUCUUGACCAUCCAUCUUUUCAGCUCUGGAGUUGCCAUGGUGAUACUGGCUGAGGGAGGCACUGGUAACCAGGAGUUGCUGUGCUCACCAAUGGAGCAACAAGAGGUGGGUGAAUCCCUGCAGCCGAUGAGUCUCUCGAACCUUUGGUUCCCUGCUCCCCCUGAGACUCAUUUUCUUCAAAUGACAGAUGGAGCUGACUCUAUUACAGUCCUUGAUGUGGACUGUGUCAGGAGCCACUCAGGAAGCCAAAGCAGGUGGUGCCAGGGACAUGCCAGUGCCCAGAGCCUGCGGAGUCCUGCCGAGUCCUACCUUCCUGGCUUUCAAUGCUUGUUCCUGGGUGCCCACAUUUGGGACAGAGGCAGCCUGGAGGCCGGGGCUGGGACUGUCUGGAUGUUGACAGCUGAGCUGCCACGCGCACCAGGGCCUCGGAUCCCUUGCAGGAAACCAGAAUGGAGCUGAAUGUCGCCGCAAGAAUGUUCUUCUGUCGGGCUGGGUCUGAGUCACGGAGGGCUGGGUCUGAUUUGCCAGGAGGGCACAGCUGAGGAUGCAAAGCCACGCUGGGCUGAGGACACCCACCAUGUCCAGAUCGUCUCCUCACCCCUCAUCCCAGCACAGGAGAUUUGCAGAAGCCCACACAGCCAUACCUCAUUUUAUUGUGCUUGGCUUUACUGUGCUUCGCAGAUACUGCGUUGUUUUUUUUUUUUUUUUUUUUUUUUUUAACAAAUUGAAGGUUUGUGGUAACCUGGUGUUUUCAGAUGAUGGUCAGCAUUUCUUAGCAACAGAAUAUUUUUAAAUUAUGGUAUGUACUUUUUUUUAGACAUAAGGCUAUUACACACUUAAUAGACUACAGUAUAGUAUAAACAUAGCUCUUAUAUGCCCUGGGAAACCAAAAUUUAUGUGACUCACUUUAUUGCAACUUUUGCUUUAUUGAGAUGGUCUAGAACUAAACCCACAACUUCUCUGAGAUCUACCUGUAUGUGAUUCAACCUAUUUGGGCUCACCUCUUACCCCCACUGGCAUCAUUUAAAAAAUAUUAAUGGAGAGUGCUGAGUACCAGGCCCUGUUCUAGGCCCAAAGUCACAUCAGUGGCGAUUUCUUGGAGUUUGUUUUCUGCCGGAAAGAGACAUGAAAAAGCCAGUGGACACAGGGGUGUGUAACAUGUCACAUGGCAUAAAAGCCAGUAAGAUAAAUCUGGUAGGAGGACAGGGACAGAUGUGGGAGACUAUUUUAUUUAUUUUUAAUUUUUUUUGAAGUACCAUUAGUUACAAUGUAUCAAAUUCUGGUGUACAGCACAAUGUCCCAGUCAUGCAUAUACAUACGUAGAUUCAUUUUCAUAUUUGGAGACUAUUUUAAUAAAUCAUCAGGGAAAGCCUCUCCCAGGCAGACUCUUGAAUGGAGAUGUAAGGAGGAGACAGCUGGUUCCAGGCAGAAGAAACAGCAACUGUAAAGGCCCUGGGUUAGGAAGUCUCCUGGUGAGAUGGAGGAGGAGUGAAAAGGCCACUGGAGCACGGAGGGUGGUGAUGAGGAGGAUAUGAAAUCAGAGUGGGCAGGGACCAGGGCACACAGGUGGCUGGUGGUUUUGGAGUUCAUGUCCAGAAUUGGAAAGGCAUUGGUGCAUUUUGAACAAAGAACAAGUGGUUUUCUCAUAUGAAAACAGCAAUCAAAACUCCCCACCUACCAGGCCUAACCCAUUUGAGUGUUUUCAAAAAUAAGCUGAGAGUACUCUACAGAGUGAAAGUGGUGCUGUAACAUUUUAUUUCUAUAAUAUGUUGUGCUGCUUCUGUUGUGUUUUAUGAAAUGUGUAGCAUUAUGAUGACAUAUAAUCCUGUUUCUUCUCUGUGCCGCCUCUCUGAUGAACUUCAAAUUGGGGGUUUCGGGUUCUCCUGGAGACAAGGUAUGUGACUAGUUGGGGAGUUGCAGGCGCUCAGGCUGGUGAUGGGGGUGGGGAAGAGAAACUCUGGAGCCCUGGGGCUACGACUGUGUGACGCCAGUAGGCUGGGAAAGAGGCAGACCUCAUCCCUAGUGGUAACGGGAAUAAUAAGUGACACUGUUCUACACAUUUGAUGGGUGUUGUCUACAUCUUCCCAGUAACUCCCUGGGCCGUUACCCUGUGAUAGGGACCGUCAGAGCCAGGGGUACUAACUCAUGUACCUGGACCUCAUGCUGCAGAGACCGCAGCCCACACGGGGGUCAUCUCCCCACUGCCCUCCCUCGUGCAUUCUGUCUGGGGGACCCCAGUUCAGCCCAGGGGGUGAAUCGUGAGAUCAGAGCUGCCUUCACGGGUGUGUGACCCAUGUGAUUACACAGGGAUCUGUGCUCAGAAGACUCCGUGAUUGGCUUAAGCUCUGCUGCCCCGGACUACAAGUUCUUAAUAAUUUUUGAACAAGGGGCUUGACAUUCUUACUGUGCACUGGGAACCACGAAUUACGAAGGUGGUCUCGCAGGAGGAUACAAGCCAAUCGUAGGGUCCCGCCCCUUUGCCUGGGAUUGGUGGACGUUUACCCAUGUUUGACCAA
Camelus dromedarius (Arabian camel) is the source of this 4022-nucleotide long non-coding RNA. RefSeq lists it as uncharacterized. The record is from RefSeq and is a predicted model, not a curated record. The transcript has 3 exons. NCBI's taxonomy places the organism in Eukaryota, Metazoa, Chordata, Mammalia, Artiodactyla, Camelidae.